This 497-nucleotide ribosomal RNA is filed under the name uncultured bacterium. Its description in RNAcentral is "partial 16S ribosomal RNA". It matches the Rfam family "Bacterial small subunit ribosomal RNA", at positions 28 to 507 of the family's 1533-position model. The record is from RNAcentral.
GACGAACGCUGGCGGCGUGCCUAAUACAUGCAAGUUGAGCGAUGAAGAUUGGUGCUUGCCCCAAUUUGAAGAGCAGCGAACGGGUGAGUAACGCGUGGGGAAUCUGCCUUUGAGCGGGGGACAACAUUUGGAAACGAAUGCUAAUACCGCAUAACAACUUUAAACAUAAGUUUUAAGUUUGAAAGAUGCAAUUGCAUCACUCAAAGAUGAUCCCGCGUUGUAUUAGCUAGUUGGUGAGGUAAAGGCUCACCAAGGCGAUGAUACAUAGCCGACCUGAGAGGGUGAUCGGCCACAUUGGGACUGAGACACGGCCCAAACUCCUACGGGAGGCAGCAGUAGGGAAUCUUCGGCAAUGGCCGAAAGUCUGACCGAGCAACGCCGCGUGAGUGAAGAAGGUUUUCGGAUCGUAAAACUCUGUUGGUAGAGAAGAACGUUGGUGAGAGUGGAAAGCUCAUCAAGUGACGGUAACUACCCAGAAAGGGACGGCUAACUACGUG